GUCCACGCCGUAAACGAUGCGCACAAGGUUCAUUGGCCUCUGACGGCACGUGGGCCGAAACAAAAGUGUUAAGUGCGCCGCCUGGGGAGUACGGCCGCAAGGCUAAAACUCAAAGGAAUUGACGGGGGCUCACACAAGCGGUGGAGCAUGUGGCUUAAUUCGAAGCAACGCGAAGAACCUUACCCGGGUUUGACAUGCAUGGAUUAGCUCCGUGAAAGCGGAGUGACGCGGCUUGCCGUGGAACAUGCACAGGUGCUGCAUGGCUGUCGU
RNAcentral lists this ribosomal RNA (270 nucleotides) under uncultured bacterium. RNAcentral describes it as "partial 16S ribosomal RNA". It matches the Rfam family "Bacterial small subunit ribosomal RNA", at positions 793 to 1055 of the family's 1533-position model. The record is from RNAcentral.